AACCAAGGCGCACCUUGACCAAUUAGCGCUGCAUUAGGCUGUUUUUCAGGCCGACGAAGAUACAAGUUGACUGGAAUUAUUUAACAUGUCAAUUAUAUGCUGUGCCAUCGCCAUGAGCAAUUGGUGAAGCUGCAUAUCAUCAUAAUUUCGUUGGGAGAAACCAUGCGGUGUUUUAAUUCCAAAUCGAGUUUCGGAGGUAUUUCGGUUUACUGAAUGUUUGAUUGUUGGUGAUUGAUCUUACCUCCGUGGGAGUGGAUCGGCCCUCUCGGCCUUCAAAGCACCCUGGGUGUGGCUGCCCAGUAUAUUUUUGUCAUCGAAGCGGGAUGUCAACGCAGAAG
This 338-nucleotide small RNA is filed under the name Histoplasma capsulatum var. duboisii H88. RNAcentral describes it as "Histoplasma capsulatum H88 hypothetical RNA". Lineage: Eukaryota; Fungi; Ascomycota; Eurotiomycetes; Onygenales; Ajellomycetaceae. The record is from RNAcentral.